CGGGUGAGUAAUGCAUCGGAACGUGCCCAGUAGUGGGGGAUAGCUCGGCGAAAGCCGGAUUAAUACCGCAUACGACCUACGGAUGAAAGCGGGGGACCGCAAGGCCUCGCACUAUUGGAGUGGCCGAUGUCGGAUUAGCUAGUUGGUGGGGUAAAGGCUUACCAAGGCGACGAUCCGUAGCUGGUCUGAGAGGACGAUCAGCCACACUGGAACUGAGACACGGUCCAGACUCC
RNAcentral lists this ribosomal RNA (233 nucleotides) under uncultured bacterium. RNAcentral describes it as "partial 16S ribosomal RNA". It matches the Rfam family "Bacterial small subunit ribosomal RNA", at positions 103 to 339 of the family's 1533-position model. The record is from RNAcentral.